GACGAACGCUGGCGGCGUGCCUAAUACAUGCAAGUUGAGCGAUGAAGAUUGGUGCUUGCACCAAUUUGAAGAGCAGCGAACGGGUGAGUAACGCGUGGGGAAUCUGCCUUUGAGCGGGGGACAACAUUUGGAAACGAAUGCUAAUACCGCAUAACAACUUUAAACAUAAGUUUUAAGUUUGAAAGAUGCAAUUGCAUCACUCAAAGAUGAUCCCGCGUUGUAUUAGCUAGUUGGUGAGGUAAAGGCUCACCAAGGCGAUGAUACAUAGCCGACCUGAGAGGGUGAUCGGCCACAUUGGGACUGAGACACGGCCCAAACUCCUACGGGAGGCAGCAGUAGGGAAUCUUCGGCAAUGGACGAAAGUCUGACCGAGAAACGCCGCGUGAGUGAAGAAGGUUUUCGGAUCGUAAAACUCUGUUGGUAGAGAAGAACGUUGGUGAGAGUGGAAAGCUCAUCAAGUGACGGUAACUACACAGAAAGGGACGGCUAACUACGUG
RNAcentral lists this ribosomal RNA (497 nucleotides) under uncultured bacterium. RNAcentral describes it as "partial 16S ribosomal RNA". It matches the Rfam family "Bacterial small subunit ribosomal RNA", at positions 28 to 507 of the family's 1533-position model. The record is from RNAcentral.